GCACCUCGAGGAAUGAGCUCUCCAGAGUAAGGCUCACUUCUGGAGAGCCAGAAGUCACACCUUUACUGAGUUGAAUGUAAACAACAACAACAAAAAAAACUGGCUUGCAUCUGAGAUCAUCAGUAUUUAGAGGCCCUAUCGCAGAGCGCAGGUGAAGCAAGCACAAACUUUACUGGCCACCGCAGCUGAAAAGUACAUUUCUCAGCUGAACCCCUUCUGGUAAGGACCAAAUUCCUUAAACAUGGCCCACAAGUUCCUUCAUGACUGGAUCCUGUCAUCUUUUAUUUCCCAGAACCUAGUCUACAUUUCCCAACAGGUUCUCUCUCACAUCCUCUGUGUUCACGUCUUCACUGCUUUCCGGGUGAAAUGCUGCAUUGCUUCAUCUUCCUCCCACCCUCCACCUUACUCAUUCAUCCUUCUAUAAUCAACUCAAGGAGUGUUUAUGAAGACACCUGCUCUGGUACCACCUUCUCCUUCCUAGGUGGGGUUAGUGUUCCUGGCACAAGUGAUGUAGUGUAGUAAUAUCUCCCUCAUAGAGCUGCUGAGGGGAUUAAAUGAA
This is a long non-coding RNA of Callorhinus ursinus (northern fur seal), 559 nucleotides long. RefSeq lists it as uncharacterized. NCBI's taxonomy places the organism in Eukaryota, Metazoa, Chordata, Mammalia, Carnivora, Otariidae. The record is from RefSeq and is a predicted model, not a curated record.